This 507-nucleotide long non-coding RNA is filed under the name Carica papaya (papaya). Its description in RNAcentral is "long non-coding RNA (CPAP_LNC006159)". Lineage: Eukaryota; Viridiplantae; Streptophyta; Magnoliopsida; Brassicales; Caricaceae. The record is from RNAcentral.
GGCCCUCGGGGGGCCAAAAAAUCACGGAGAAGCGGAGCUUACCGGCGGCGGCGCUCUCGGGUGCGGCGGCUCUCCGGCGAGGUUCGUGGUUUGGUGAUUCGGCUCCGGUCAACCUGUAGAGAAAAGAAUGGUGAUCACGGUGAUAUAAAAAUUGCAUCACACGGAGGCCGGGAAGGGCCUCGUCGGAGGCAAAAACCGAGAGGGGGCGCGGCGGCGCCGCUGGUCUUCGACCGCGUAUUCCGGCCAUUUGGCCGGGAUUUUGGCUUCGAUUUAGCCACAGGAAGAAUCAGCGUGGAAAAACGAGUCUGGGGUAUGAAAUUUACCUCGAUCGGCGGUCGGAAAUUUCCCCGGUGCGGCGGCGGGUGGCGGCGGUCGGCCUCUGGUUCGUCUUCUCCGGCGAGCAGCAGGCGGCUAGGGUUUGUGGUCUGGUGUGGGGGUUCUAUUUAUAACCCCUAGCCUUUUGAUCUCAGCCGUCCAUUUUGUUUUAAUCUGGGUCGUUCGUUUUUU